GGGGUGGGAAGGGUCCUCAGGAACAGGUCUGGCUCCUGUCCUGGCCGUCCUGCUGUCUGCACCAGCAAGCACAGUGUCUCCUCUGGUCCUGUCUUGUAGGGGAAAGUCUGUGCGGCCUUCACCUGCCACGGGGACGGAUGUUUCAAGGGGAAGAAGACCACUGCGAGAUGCAUUGUUGGGUAUGACUUCUGUCAGAUGAAGAAGACAGGCCUGGAUUUUGUGGCAGGAUGCAGCAAGGCCUGCAAGGCUGCCAAGCCCGUCUGCGCUAAAGGCGUGAAGGCUGCCUGCUACCAGGAGUGCUGCCCCGCCACGCCGAAAGCCAGCUGCCUAAAGCUGGAUGGCAAAAUUCACCUCAACGCUGCUGGGCAGCUGCCCCUGGCCCCGCUCCUGCAGCUCCUGGCAUGCGGGGCUGCCCUUCUCCUGAACCGUGGGGUCUCUGCUCCCCUCCGGCUGUAAGCAGCAGGCGGGGGCCCCCUCUCUGGCUUCAGCCACAGUCACCGUCCACCACCCUCAGCUGCCAGGAACAAAGGGGCCAGAGCUUGAAGACGUUCCCCUGCCCUGCUGGGACUACGGAGGCUGGAUGGAGGGACCUCGGGUGUAGGAGCAAGAGGUUGCUACGCUGCCUUAAAAAGCAGAAACCUCUGCUUCGAGUGAAGGCACGGGGGCUGCUCUAGUUAAUAAUUGCUUCUCAGCUCAGCCUUUCUGGACAUCCCCUUAGCAUUUAGUUUGUACCUAAAGCCCCCUGUCUGUUUAGGCACAACUCUUAACUGUUUCAUCUCCACUUCGUGGCAGGAAAAUGGGACUGAGCUAAAAGUGGCUUGUGGUUUUAGAUGGCCCUGUUUCAUAUUUAUGAUUCUCUAUGCGUAAAGAUAGAGCAGAGACGGGAGCAGGAGCCCGUGCUGUGACCUUCUUGCAUCACAGGCAGCGGGUGGGUGGCUCUGUGGUGGCAAGGUGCUGCCACUCCUGCAAGCGCACAGUCUGCUGUCCUCUCUCACUGCUCUCUUUUAAGGGGAAAAAAAAGCAAAAAUAAAAAUAAAGAAAUGUCUG
Molecule: non-coding RNA, 1047 nt
Organism: Anas platyrhynchos (mallard)
Lineage: Eukaryota; Metazoa; Chordata; Aves; Anseriformes; Anatidae
Source: RefSeq, a predicted model, not a curated record